Molecule: ribosomal RNA, 452 nt
Filed under: uncultured bacterium
Lineage: Bacteria
Description: SSU rRNA
Rfam family: Bacterial small subunit ribosomal RNA
Source: RNAcentral
AGAACGAACGCUGGCGGCAUGCCUAACACAUGCAAGUCGAACGUGAUCCAGGCUUCGGCCUGGUGAAAGUGGCAGACGGGUGAGUAACGCGUGGGAACCUGCCCUGUGGUAGGGAAUAACCGUGGGAAACUGCGGCUAAUACCCUAUGAGUCCUUCGGGAGAAAGAUUUAUCGCCAUAGGAGGGGCCCGCGUCGGAUUAGGUAGUUGGUGGGGUAACGGCCUACCAAGCCUUCGAUCCGUAGCUGGUCUGAGAGGAUGAUCAGCCACACUGGGACUGAGAUACGGCCCAGACUCCUACGGGAGGCAGCAGUGGGGAAUAUUGGACAAUGGGGGCAACCCUGAUCCAGCAAUGCCGCGUGGAUGAUGAAGGCCUUCGGGUUGUAAAGUCCUUUCGGCGGGGAAGAUGAUGACGGUAGCGGGAGAGAAGCCCCGGCUAACUCGUGCCAGCAGCC